Perognathus longimembris pacificus (Pacific pocket mouse) is the source of this 306-nucleotide long non-coding RNA. RefSeq lists it as uncharacterized. NCBI's taxonomy places the organism in Eukaryota, Metazoa, Chordata, Mammalia, Rodentia, Heteromyidae. The record is from RefSeq and is a predicted model, not a curated record. The transcript is spliced from 3 exons.
CAUCUCCAGAAUCAGCCAAACACAGAUUCCAGUGUAGAGACCUAGUGGUCAUUUGCUCUCCCAAAGCUUCAGUUUCCUCAUCUGGACAAGAGAGGGGUAAUGGCCUGUGAAGAGCUGCCAUGGUUUGACCGCCUCGGGUAAUCUACUUGAAGCCCACAUCAGACCCAGCGGCUUUGAAAGCCGAGCCUUUGAUUGGAAGGCGCUUUGGCUGGGAGAAGAAAACGCUCUUGACAAUCAAAAGGGAAGGGCCUGAAGGAGACCAUUUGUGCCUGAACUCUAGAUUGAAAAGGACUUGUGAAGACCCGG